GUGCGAGGGGGCUUGCCCCCGAUAGCGGUAUGUCAUUCAAAACAUCAGUGACUGAACCAACGCAAUCGGGGGCAAGCCCCCUCCCAC
RNAcentral lists this unclassified non-coding RNA (87 nucleotides) under Pseudomonas rhodesiae. Lineage: Bacteria; Pseudomonadati; Pseudomonadota; Gammaproteobacteria; Pseudomonadales; Pseudomonadaceae. The record is from RNAcentral.